Molecule: transfer RNA, 74 nt
Filed under: Calditrichota bacterium
Lineage: Bacteria; Pseudomonadati; Calditrichota
Description: Calditrichaeota bacterium (activated sludge metagenome) tRNA-Val
Rfam family: tRNA
About the family: Transfer RNA (tRNA) molecules are approximately 80 nucleotides in length. Their secondary structure includes four short double-helical elements and three loops (D, anti-codon, and T loops).
Source: RNAcentral
GGGGAUAUAACUCAGUUGGUUAGAGUGUCAGCUCGACAAGCUGGAAGUCGCAAGUUCGAAUCUUGCUAUCCCCA